This 16-nucleotide small RNA is filed under the name Arabidopsis thaliana (thale cress). RNAcentral's name for it is "ATSL066410". The record is from RNAcentral. Lineage: Eukaryota; Viridiplantae; Streptophyta; Magnoliopsida; Brassicales; Brassicaceae.
AGCUUCAAAUUCCGUU